GACGAACGCUGGCGGCGUGCUUAACACAUGCAAGUCGAACGGAAAGGCCCUGCUUUUGUGGGGUGCUCGAGUGGCGAACGGGUGAGUAACACGUGAGUAACCUGCCCUUGACUUUGGGAUAAAUUCAGGAAACUGGGGCUAAUACCGGAUAGGAGCUCCUGCUGCAUGGUGGGGGUUGGAAAGUUUCGGCGGUUGGGGAUGGACUCGCGGCUUAUCAGCUUGUUGGUGGGGUAGUGGCUUACCAAGGCUUUGACGGGUAGCCGGCCUGAGAGGGUGACCGGCCACAUUGGGACUGCGAUACGGCCCAGACUCCUACGGGAGGCAGCAGUGGGGAAUAUUGCACAAUGGGCGGAAGCCUGAUGCAGCAACGCCGCGUGCGGGAUGACGGCCUUCGGGUUGUAAACCGCUUUCGCCUGUGACGAAGCGUGAGUGACGGUAAUGGGUAAAGAAGCACCGGCUAACUACGUG
RNAcentral lists this ribosomal RNA (468 nucleotides) under uncultured bacterium. RNAcentral describes it as "partial 16S ribosomal RNA". It matches the Rfam family "Bacterial small subunit ribosomal RNA", at positions 28 to 507 of the family's 1533-position model. The record is from RNAcentral.